CGGUGAUGAAAUUGACAGCGCCAGCCUCCGACAGAGCCGCCUUGAAUGCCUGCAGGUCCACUUGUUCUGCGCCAUUUCCAGCCUCGGCUGCAGCCACAAUGUUCUUGAAGUCCAAUGACUCAUCAUCAUAAAUAUCCCACCAUUUCUUUACCAGCAUCUUAAUGUCCUCCCUCUCCAUGUUUUCCUCCUCUCCAGUAUACCUCCAUGGCUUAGAACCCUAAAGAAACACAAUUACAAUUUAAUUAGUAACUAAGAUCUUAAUCUGUGAUUAGUAAUCACAUUAGCACAAUAGUGAACAAGUUUGACUUGGUCAAGCUGAAUGCUUUCAGGGUGAAGCCAGAGCAUGGCCAACACAAGGUUGUAGUUUGAAGGGAUGGGCCUGUACUUGUCCCUGAAAAACACGUUCAGAAAGUCCUGCCAAAAUUGGACCAAAUUUCAUGUGAACACGUUCAAAGUCCUGCCAAAAUUGGACCAAAUUUCAUGUCAGAUUAUAGAGCAUCUCCGUCUCCAACGGAGAUGUUAAAUGUAAAUGUUAAAUUUGAAUUUGAUGGCUUAUGUUCUAAUUUGACACUUUGGAAAAAAAUUUACUCUACUCAAAAUGCCAAAUAUCAUAUUAUUUUAUUAUAUUUUUAAAAGCAAACGAGGCUCAUAUGAUGCAUAAAGUUUUCAAAUAAAGUAAAUGGUAGUGGGGUCCAUGACUAAAAAAUAUUAAAAUAAUAUUUAAGGACCUUUUAUAUUGAGAGGGGACUUAAUACACUUUUGACAUCAAGCUUUUUGAUAUGUUAUUUUUGACAUAUCUGAUCUAUUUCUAUUCGAUUUCUUUCUAUCCAGCAACAGUGACGGGUAUGCAGGCACUGUUUAUUGUGACUUUGCCAUUAUCUUUGGCAACUCUCCUGCUACACCACAAUUUUAGUUGAUUAAAUUGUGGGCCCCAAAAUUCGCCCAUGUGGCGUAUGACUCAUUAGUUGUCAAAGGUGACAUGUGUCGACAUCUAGCGGAGUGCAUCAAACGGUUCAAAGUGAAGGCAAUAUUAAAGGGAAGAAUCUCCUGUGACUGACUCUAAUUUAAUUCAAAUAUUAAUCAAGUCAAUCAAUCGAAGAUAAUUUGGUUAAAUUGCCAAAUUAUCGGAAUUAAUUUUAAAUCAAAUCAAAAUUCCACAAAGGAAGGUCUUAAAGAAGGAAAGCUAUUUAGGUCAAGCAUCUUGCAGGAGCCUAUAAAUAGGAGGCCUCAAGACAAAAGGGGGAGCUGAGACAAACAAAGCACUGAGAAGAAAUAGAAAACUCUCUGCAUUCCUCACCUCACUUUGGAAGGAGCCACAAAGCACAACAAAUUCGUGCCGGUUCCUCCACCCUAGAAAAAUCCAAACACCAAACAAGCCUUGUGCUACUUGUUUGAUCAAGAUCAAGUCUCUACAACCCUUGUAUCAAACACAAAUUUUCUUUAAACACUUUGGAGAUCGAAUUAGAGGAUUCAAUACAGAGAUUAUAACCCUAAAUUUCAUUAAUAUAAAUAUUAUUUUGUACACAUGUCCUUGUCUCAUUUGUCACCGGAAAUUCGUGUUUACAGGGAUAUUCGAAUUCUGAGUAUAAGGAACUGGCAAUUUGGGCUAUUGAUUUAAUAUUGCGUUUUCUUAUUAGUAUUGUUACAAACACCAACUUCUUAUUCCCAACUUAUGUAAUAUAUGACAUUGCAAUCCAUAUUGUAAUAUCUUUCUAGUGUGAUAUAACACUUUUCGUAAUUAAAUUUUCUUGAUUCUAAUUGAACUGUAAUGGUAAAAAAUUAAAAUAUUGCGCACGCUAUUUAGCCUAUUAAUACAUUUCCUUAUUGGUUUAUUUGAUUGGGGAAGAUGUUAGGGAAGAUUUAAUACUUCGGAGUAAAAGUAUUAUCUUAGUUUUAACAAAAAUAUCAAAUCAUAAAAUUCACGAGAAUCAUUAAUUAGUGUAAUAAUUUGAGUGAAGGCUAACACAAAGAUGUCGUACGAAUCUCCUUUGUUGUAUACGACAUAUCAUUUGGGGCUAAUCUUAAGAAUAGCAGACAAAAAACCAUAGCGAGCUUGGUUUAAACAUCAGUCAAAUGAACAAAAUAUAUGAAGUUUAAGCCCAACCCAAAUCAACCAAUCUUAAAGUUUAUGCGGCAUUAACAUUAGUAUGUCAGUUUUGUUUGAUUUAAUUAAGAACCAAGUGAAACUGCAUAUUCUUUAUAUAAAUGAUUCAUUAACCUAAGCCUAAGUUGCCAGUAUUUAAGUUACUAAUCCCAUUAGAAGGCCACAGAACAAAAAAAAAGAAGAAAAAAAUGGUUUCAUCUAGCUCUGCAAUCUGUUGUGCUAUUGUGAUUGUUGCUUCUUUUUUCAUAGGUUCUUUUGGCGUCUCUUACAAGACCCUGACCAAGAUUUGCUCCAAAACCCAAAACCCAAAAACAUGUAUGACAAAUUUACAAACUGUCCCAUGCACCACCUCAGCUGACCUGCCUAAACUCUCACUGAUUUCUAUAGAGCUAGCAAGGAAACAAGCUGACCAAAACCUUGAGACUUUCAGAGAGCUAAGCCACAAUGCCACUGCAGCUAAGAUGAAAGAGGAGUUUGAUGCCUGUGUGAGAUUUUACAAGGAGGUAAGGCCCCAAAUCCAAGCAGCACAUCUCUUGUCACAGAAGAGACAGUACAAGAACAAUUCAGCUUUGCUUCAAGCAAAUGAGUUUGCAUUAAGAUGUUCAUUAGGCAUCUCUGUUGACUCACUGGAAAUUAAUCAGCUUCAAGAAUCUGUGCUUUUAAAGCUGGACACUUCAAUCAGUGUGAAUCGAUAUAUUGCUCUAGCGCAGCUAAAUAAGUUUUAGUUGUUCGUUAAAGUAAAUUAUCGCUUAUAUAAAUUUUAAAAAAUAAUAAUAACUGAUGAGGGUUUCCCCAUAUUGGUUGUUUGAACCAUUCAUACUCUAUAUUGGUUUCUUGCUCAAUGCUUCAUAUUAGUUUGUUCGAAGGUUGGCCUUCAAAGGACAAAGUGAAAGUGACAAAUUGCAAAAACAUAUAUAUUAAAAAUAUAUUUAGAACUAAAUAACAGAGGACAUGAAUGAUCCUCUUUAGACCAAACAAAAAAAGGGUGAAUCCUGAGGAUGAUUAAAAUUUGUUAACAUUUUUUCAUCUAAUCCCUGACCAAUGGGGCAGGAUUGCUAGGGGAAUAGGGGAUUGCAGCUAAACCCAAUGUGUGGAUAGACUUGAAUUACUUCUAAUUAGUGAUAAACAUAAUCUACAUAAUUUGCAUAAUGAUGAGUUGUCUUUUGACGUGUCAUCGACUGAAGUACUAGUAAUUGAUAAGAUGUGGGAGUGGACGGUUGAGAGCAUGAAAUAAACAUUUAUAUUUACUUAUUAGUUUUCUCCAAUAUCUUAAUUGACUCCCAUCACCUUGAUUCACUUUGAUAUAUUUAUAAUAUUUAACAAACCAAAUUUACAUGAUGCAAUGUUCACAACAAAAACAUUUAUAUAUAUAAACUAUUCAUGCGUUUGAAAAUUAUCACAAAAUUCUAGUGAGAAAAGAAGACACAAGAAAUUUAUUCAAAACUUUAGCCAGGUUUCAAAAUUAUCACAAAAUCCUCAUGAAAUUUUUUGGAAUUUUGAGCACUUGUUCCCAAAUAAAUUUUUUGAAACCAUAAGGAUUGCAGAUCAAUUUUGACGUCGUAAUAAUGUAUUAAUAUAGUUUUGUUAGAAGUUCAACAUUGCCAUUUACCUAACUGUAGCUUACUACUCAUUGUGACAUUAAGCUAACUGUGGCUAACUAGUUCUCUUUGGCCUUGUUUGGUGAGUUGGACUGGAUGAGACCUUUUCAAUUAAAAUGGACAUGGAUCCAGUCUGUUGUUUGGUGAAUUACAUUUUGUUUGUUUCUUUUUAGGUUAUAAUUCUGACUUGAGCUUAGGGGUGGGCACGGUUCGGUUUGGACCGGUUUUUGCCUCAAAUUAGAACCGAUCUGAUACUAUUCAUCCGGUUUGGUUCGGUUCGGUUUUAAUAAAAAAAAAUUCAAAAACUGUCCGGUUCGGUUUGAACCGAUUUCGGUCCGGUUCCGGUUCCGGUUCGAUUUUGAACCGGAUUAUAAAAAUUAUUAUUUUUAAUUGUUUUUUAAUACAAUUCUCAACUGAAAUAUUAUUUUUUUACUUGAAAAUUAACAAAUUAUUCAAUUUCAUAUAAAAAAUAAAUAUUAAAGUGAGAAAAGAGAGAUAUUUUGACAUUGAACUUGGAUAAAUAUUAGUUUUUUUUAGUGAAAUUAAAAAUAUAGCAUUAAAUAUAAUUAUAUAUUGAAAUUAUAUAUUUUUUUAGUUUCACCGGUUCGGUUCGGCCCGGUUCGAUUUUUAAAGACAUGAAACCGGAUCCGGAACCGGUCCAAACCGGUCUGGUUCGGUUUUUGACUGGUUUUUGACUUUUUGGUCAACUCAGUUUUUUUCCGGUUUGGUUCGAUGCGGUUCGGUUCGGAUUUCCGGUUCGCCGGUUUGAGUGCCCAACCCCUACUUGAGCUCAUAUAAUUUUUUUUUAACUUAUCGAAAAAAUAUUACAAAAGAUACAUAGAGAAUAGAAGGCCACAUUUUGGUAAUUUGCCUAGGGCCUCCAAAACCUUAUAGGACCGCCACUAUAUUGAGCUUUGGGCUGGUGCAAUAUAGAACCAAGGUUGGUACAAAGGCUUAACUCGAGCUGGGUUACUAUAUGAUUAGCAUGGUCCGCCCAUAGUAUUGGGUUGAUCCAGCUGCCCGCCUAAUCAAAACCUCCAUGGCCAUGGAGUCAUUUUAUAGUGAUGGUCUUAUUUAAGGCCUUUAGUCUCAAUCGUUGGAUCAAACUAACUAAUUUAUUUCAACGGUUAAGCAAUAAGCCUCAUCUAAGGGCUUUAUAAGGCCCUCACUAUAAAAUUCUACUAUGGUCAUGUUAUGUUAUCAUGAGGUUCACAUUGAUUACAUUGGAUUAAUCACAGCUUCUUGAUGGAAUUAAUUGAUAAUUUUACUACAUUUGAUACAAGUGAUAUUGGGAGAGAGGAGAAUCAAACUUAUGAUCUCCAGUGCAAGGGUUAAUGUGUUUAACUACCACUAAAACUAUAAGCUUCUUGGAAUAAUUCAUUUACAUUUUAGACUAGAAUGAUUAGACAUAGUCAAAUUCAAGUUAUUUUUAGACGACCAAACACGUGACUAGGUUUUGAGUUUGUUUCGUUUUGUGAUAUUUGUGUGUUUAAACCAAUUUCGAUGUCAUUGUCCCAAAAACCCUAGCCCCUUUUCUCCCAAAAAACACUCAUAGAGUUUUUUCCACUUUGAGGGGGGAGGAAGCCAUUGUUCUUCCCCCAUCUCCCCUCUUCUCUUCCUCCUUUCACCUCUUCCCCCAUUUUCAAAGACAAAGGGUUUUUCCUAUUUGUCUUAGUUUUGUUAUGAUUUUCAUCCAACUAUUAUAGGCGACUGCGGCUCAGCGUCAGAUCUUCACUUGCAUUUCGGCGUCAGAUCUCCACCAUAAUCUGUUUUGCAAUUUCUUUAUGUUUGGAAUAAGUUGCAGAGACUCUUUGGGUUCUCUGUGUAGUUUUCACCUCUCCUUUUGUGAGAGUUUUUAUCUCUCAUUUGUGAGAGCUUUUCAUCUCUCAUUUGUGAGAGUUUUAUUUGUAUUGUUAUGGCUUGAUUUUUUCAAGCUUUAUCUUUUUUUUAUUAUUCUAAGUUUGCAAUCUUAGUUGGGAUGCCUAUGUCAAAGUUUCUUCGAUCCUGCCUGAUCGUUAGUGGAGACACAUCAGAUUGUCUUAAUUUUGAUAUCAGACCACUCCGUUAUUGUAAUUGCCCUUUUGUGGCUAGUUUGUAUCGGCCCUUUGUGGCUAGUGGCUGUUUUGGCUGAAUUAUGAAUGCAAUCAUAGAAUUUCUCAACCAAAAAAAAAAAAAAACACGUGACUAGGAUUGUGAAUCCUUUGCCAAACAUGUAGCUUCAAUAUUCAUAACAUAACACAAUCAAAGUUUAGUGACCAUUAAUAGUCUAAUAAUCAUGCAUGUAAUAGCAUUAUAAGCAGAUAACUUCUAAAACUUUUUCUAAGAAAUCCAAAUGGUUGGUUGCUUCUAGAAGACCUAAUUCUAGUUGUGCUGGGUAGCCAUUAGGUCAUGCAAAGAAACCAAAGCCAUAGCAAUCAAAAUCCUCAUCUGCCUAUUUUUAUUAGUAAGAGGGUUCUGAGUGUUAGGCGGUGUGCUGAGUGAGUCUUCUCAGCUAGCCUCAGCCCUCGGUGUCAGAGUCUCAUACCUCUACACACUGUCGUAAUCCUUCGAAUUCUGAGCGUAAGAAACCGGCAAUUUGGACUAUUGAUUUAAUAUUGCGUUUUUUCAUUAGUAUUGUUACGGACACCAACUUCUUGUUCUCAAUUCCUGUGAUAUAUGACAUUGCAAUACUGUAAUAUCUUUUUGGUGUGAUAUAACACUUUUCGUAAUUAAAUUUUCUUGAUUCUAAUUGAAAUGUAAUGGUAAAACAUCGCGCAUGCUAUUUAGCCUAUUAAUACAUUUCCUUCUUGGUUUAUUUGAUUGGGGAAGAGGUUAGGGAAGAUUUAAUACUUCGGAGUAAAAGUAUUAUCUUAGUUUUAACAAAAUAUCAAAUCACAAAAUUCACGAGAAUCAGUAAUUAGUGUAAUAAUUUGAGUGAAGGCUAACACAAAGAUGUCAUACGAAUCUCCUUUGUUGUAUACGACAUAUCAUUUGGGGCUAAGCUUAGGAAUAGCAGACAAAAAAACCAUAGCGGGCUUGGUUUAAACAUCAGUCCAAUGAACAAAAUAUAUGAAGUUUAAGCCCAACCCAAAUCAACCAAUCUUAAAGUUUAUGCGGCAUUAAGAGUAGUAUGUCAAUUUGGUUUGAUUUAAUUAAGAACCAAGUGAAACUGCAUAUUCUUUAUAUAAAUGAUUCAUUAACCUAAGCCUAAGUUGCCAGUAUUUAAGUUACUAAUUAGAAGGCCACAGAACAAAAAAAAGAAGAAAAAAUUGGUUUCAUCUAGCUCUGCAAUCUGUUGUGCUAUUGUGAUUGUUGCUUCUUUUUUCAUAGGUUCUUCUUUUGCAGUCUCUAACAAGACCCUGACCAAGAUUUGCAUCCAAAACCCAAAAUCCAAAAAAAGUGUGACAAAUUUACAAACUGUCCCAUGCACCACCUCAGCUGACCUGCCUAAACUCUCACUAAUUUCUAUAGAGCUAGCAGGGAAGCAAGCUGACCAAAACCUUGAGACUUUCAAAGAGCUAAGCCACAAUGCCACUGCAGCUAAGAUGAAAGAGGAGUUUGAUGUCUGUGUGAGAUUUUACAAGGAGGUAAGGCCCCAAAUCCAAGCAGCACAUCUCUUGUCACAGAAGAGACAAUUAGGAGAACAAUUCAGCUUUGCUUCAAGCAAAUGAGUUUGCAUUAAGAUGUUCAUUAGGCAUCUCUGUUGACUCACUGGAAAUUAAUCAGCUUCAAGAAUCUAUGCUUUUAAAGUUGAACACUUCGAUCAGUGUGCUCUAGCGCAGCUAAAUAAGUUUUAGCUGUUCGUUAUCGCUUAUAUAAAUUAGAAAUAAUAAUAAUAACUGAUGAGGGUUUCCCGAUAUUGGUUGUUUGAACCAUUCAUACUCUCUGUAUUGGUUUCUUGCUCAAUGCUUCAUAUUAGUUUGUUCGAAGGUUGGCCUUCAAAGGACAAAGUGAAAGUGACAAAUUGCAAAUGUAUAUAAAUUAAAAAUAUAUUUAGAACUAAAUAACAGAGGACAUGAAUGAUCCUCUUUAGACCAAACAAAAAAAGGGUCCUUACACAUAAAAAAAAAUGACUCCCAAGUUAAAUAAUCCUAGGGAGACAAGAAAAAAAAAAUCCAAUACAUUCUAUAUAGACUUCAUUCUCUUUGAGAAACAGCAGGGGCCAACUAAGCAGCAGAUGGGGCGGUUCUGAAAUUGACAACGCCAGCCUCCGACAGAGCCGCCUUGAAUGCCUGCAGGUCCACCUGGUCUGCGCCAUUUCCAGCCUCGGCUGCAGCCACAAUGUUCUUGAAGUCCAAUGACUCGUCGUCAUAAAUGUCCCACCAUUUCUUUACCAGCAUCUUAAUGUCCUCCCUCUGCAUGUUCUCCUCCUUCCCAGUAUACCUCC
RNAcentral lists this long non-coding RNA (8068 nucleotides) under Prunus persica (peach). RNAcentral describes it as "long non-coding RNA (PPER_LNC006688)". Lineage: Eukaryota; Viridiplantae; Streptophyta; Magnoliopsida; Rosales; Rosaceae. The record is from RNAcentral.